Molecule: ribosomal RNA, 406 nt
Filed under: uncultured bacterium
Lineage: Bacteria
Description: partial 16S ribosomal RNA
Rfam family: Bacterial small subunit ribosomal RNA
Source: RNAcentral
AUUGAACGCUGGCGGCAGGCCUAACUCAUGAAAGUCGAGCGAGCGGCGGACGGGGGAGUAAUGUCUGGGAAACUGCCUGAUGGAGGGGGAUAACUACUGGAAACGGUAGCUAAUACCGCAUACCAUCAGAUGUGCUCAGAUGGGAUUAGCUAGUAGGUGGGGUAACGGCUCACCUAGGCGACGAUCCCUAGCUGGUCUUAGGGGAUUACCCGCCCCACUGGAACUGAGACACGGUCCACACUCCACCGCGCUCCCUCCUUUGUUUCUUUUACCCCCUAUACUCAAGCCUGCUUCAGCCAUGCAGCGUGUGUGAACAAUUCCUUCUGUUUUUCCCGCACUUUCAGCGGGGAGGCGUUACCCGCAGAAGAAGCACCGGCUAACUCCGUGCCAGCAGCCGCGGUAAUUC